CUGACCAGCCAAGUCGCGUGAAGGAAGACGGCCCUACGGGUUGUAAACUUCUUUUGUAAGGGAAUAAAUAGUCUUACGAGCUAAGACGUUGCAGGUACCUUACGAAUAAGGAUCGGCUAACUCCGUGCCAGCAGCCGCGGUAAUACGGAGGAUCCGAGCGUUAUCCGGAUUUAUUGGGUUUAAAGGGUGCGCAGGCGGCAUGUUAAGUCGGCGGUGAAAUUUUGCAGCUCAACUGUAAAAGAGCCUUCGAAACUGGCAAGCUUGAGUGUGGAUGAAGUAGGCGGAAUUUGUGGUGUAGCGGUGAAAUGCAUAGAUAUCACAAAGAACACCGAUUGCGCAGGCAGCUUACUAAACCAUAACUGACGCUCAUGCACGAAGGCGUGGGGAUCGAACAGGAUUAGAUACCCUGGUAGUCCACGCAGUAAACGAUGAUUACUGGCUGUUUGCGAUACAAUGUAAGCGGCUGAGCGAAAGCGUUAAGUAAUCCACCUGGGGAGUACGUUCGCAAGAAUGAAACUCAAAGGAAUGGACGGA
RNAcentral lists this ribosomal RNA (534 nucleotides) under uncultured Bacteroides sp. RNAcentral's name for it is "bacterial SSU rRNA". It matches the Rfam family "Bacterial small subunit ribosomal RNA", at positions 383 to 917 of the family's 1533-position model. Lineage: Bacteria; Pseudomonadati; Bacteroidota; Bacteroidia; Bacteroidales; Bacteroidaceae. The record is from RNAcentral.